CAAUAGCGUAUAUUAAAGUUGUUGCAGUUAAAAAGCUCGUAGUUGGAUUUGUGCCGUACGGUGUGUUCCGGGCACUUGUUGUCUGAGUAACCUGCUGUUGCCAUCCUUGGGUGGAACCUGUGUGGCAUUAGGUUGUCGUGCAGGGGAUGCCCAUCAUUUACUGUGAAAAAAUUAGAGUGUUCAAAGCAGGCUUAUGCCGUUGAAUAUAUUAGCAUGGAAUAAUGAGAUAGGACUUUUUUGCUAUUUUGUUGGUUUGCGCAAAGAGGUAAUGAUUAAUAGGGACAGUUGGGGGUAUUCGUAUUCCAUUGUCAGAGGUGAAAUUCUUGGAUUUUUGGAAGACGAACUACUGCGAAAGCAUUUACCAAGGAUGUUUUCAUUAA
This 380-nucleotide ribosomal RNA is filed under the name uncultured eukaryote. Its description in RNAcentral is "partial 18S ribosomal RNA". It matches the Rfam family "Eukaryotic small subunit ribosomal RNA", at positions 592 to 976 of the family's 1831-position model. The record is from RNAcentral.